GGGGUGUGUGAGUGACUUACCUCCACGCGGUGCACCCUGGGCAACGUAUUCUUAUACGGCAAAAAAGUCUAU
This 72-nucleotide ribozyme is filed under the name Rodentolepis nana. RNAcentral's name for it is "Hymenolepis nana HDV ribozyme from F. prausnitzii". It matches the Rfam family "HDV ribozyme from F. prausnitzii". The record is from Rfam by way of RNAcentral. Lineage: Eukaryota; Metazoa; Platyhelminthes; Cestoda; Cyclophyllidea; Hymenolepididae.